RNAcentral lists this ribosomal RNA (105 nucleotides) under Caerostris darwini. The record is from RNAcentral. Lineage: Eukaryota; Metazoa; Arthropoda; Arachnida; Araneae; Araneidae.
AUACCAUGCUGAAAAUACCGGUUCUCGUUAAAUCACCGGAGUCAAGCAUCAUUGGGCGCUGUCAGUACUUGGGUGGGUGACCAUCGGGGAACACCGCGUGCCGUU